GGGUCAGUAGGUUGGUCGUGCCACCGGUACGUACUGGUCUCACUGAUUCCUCCUUCCUGAAGAACCGUAAUGCCAUUAAUUUGGUGUUGCGGGGAAACAGGACUGUUACUUUGAAAAAAUUAGAGUGUUUAAAGCAAGCUAGCGCUUGAAUACAUUAGCAUGGAAUAAUGAAAUAGGACGAUCGAUCCUAUUUUGUUGGUUUCUAGGAUUGACGUU
This 216-nucleotide ribosomal RNA is filed under the name Glomeromycotina sp. RNAcentral's name for it is "partial small subunit ribosomal RNA". The stretch from base 40 to 216 matches the Rfam family "Eukaryotic small subunit ribosomal RNA", at positions 686 to 864 of the family's 1831-position model. The record is from RNAcentral. Lineage: Eukaryota; Fungi; Glomeromycota.